RNAcentral lists this ribosomal RNA (405 nucleotides) under uncultured bacterium. RNAcentral's name for it is "partial 16S ribosomal RNA". It matches the Rfam family "Bacterial small subunit ribosomal RNA", at positions 28 to 526 of the family's 1533-position model. The record is from RNAcentral.
GACGAACGCUGGCGGCGUGCCUAAUACAUGCAAGUCGAGCGGAGCGGCGAACGGGUGAGUAACGCGUGAGUAACUGCCCCCCUCUCUGGGAUAACAGUUGGAAACGGCUGCUAAUACCGGAUAGUGGGGGAUGACUCGGGUCCUAUCAGUUUGUUGGUGGGGUAGUGGCCUACCAAGGCGACGACGGGUAGCCGGCCUGGGAGGGGGACCGGCCACAGUGGGCUAAGGUACGGCCCGAACUCGUACGGGAGGCAGCAGUGGGGAAUAUGGCACAAUGGUGGAAACUCUGAUGAAGGAAGGCCGGGUGCGGGAUGACGGCCUUCGGGUUGAAAACCGCUUUCAGCCAUGACGCGGUAGUGGCAGAAGAAGCACCGGCUAACUACGUGCCAGCAGCCGCGGUAAUAC